CGGCUGGGCGGCAUGCCUAGCACAUGCAAGUCGAACGAGACCUUCGGGUCUAGUGGCGCACGGGUGCGUAACACGUGGGAAUUUGCCUCGGGGUAUGGAAUAACUCAGGGAAACUUGAGCUAAUACCAUAUAAUGUCUUCGGACCAAAGAUUUAUCGCCUUUAGAUGGGCCCGCGUUGGAUUAGCUAGUUGGUGGGGUAAAGGCCUACCAAGGCGACGAUCCAUAGCCGGUCUGAGAGGAUGAUCAGCCACACUGGGACUGAGACACGGCCCAGACUCCUACGGGAGGCAGCAGUGGGGAAUAUUGGACAAUGGGCGAAAGCCUGAUCCAGCAAUGCCGCGUGAGUGAUGAAGGCCUUAGGGUUGUAAAGCUCUUUUACCCGAGAUGAUAAUGACAGUAUCGGGAGAAUAAGCUCCGGCUAACUCCGUG
RNAcentral lists this ribosomal RNA (429 nucleotides) under uncultured bacterium. RNAcentral's name for it is "bacterial SSU rRNA". It matches the Rfam family "Bacterial small subunit ribosomal RNA", at positions 38 to 507 of the family's 1533-position model. The record is from RNAcentral.